UACGUAGGUGGCAAGCGUUAUCCGGAAUUACUGGGCGUAAAGGGCUCGUAGGCGGCCAACUAAGUCGGAUGUGAAAUCCCCAGGCUUAACCUGGGAACUGCAUCCGAUACUGGAUGGCUUGAAUCCGGGAGAGGUGAGUGGAACUCCGAGUGUAGAGGUGAAAUUCGUAGAUAUUCGGAAGAACACCAGUGGCGAAGGCGGCUCACUGGCCCGGUACUGACGCUGAGGUGCGAAAGCGUGGGGAGCAAACAGG
RNAcentral lists this ribosomal RNA (253 nucleotides) under uncultured bacterium. Its description in RNAcentral is "partial 16S ribosomal RNA". It matches the Rfam family "Bacterial small subunit ribosomal RNA", at positions 524 to 776 of the family's 1533-position model. The record is from RNAcentral.